AAGGGGACUCAGAGCAGCUGUAUGUACAUACAAUAUAUGAUAUUAUUAGCAUAGCACAAUAUUAGCAUUAUACAUUACUAUAUUGAACUAUACCACUAUACUGUAAUACUAUAUGUAAUAUAUAACAUAUAAUUAAUAUUAUUAUAUGGUAUUAUUAUUAGUAUUAUAUGGUAUAACAUUAUAAUAUUUUUAUCAAUAUUAUAUGUAUAUACAAUAUAUUAUAUUAUUAAAACAGAUAUAAAAAUAUAUUAUAAAACUGAGGGUGGGGGCCAGGAAAAUGACUUUGGAGGGCCGCAUCCGGCCCCCGGGCCUUAGUUUGGGGACCCCUGCUCUAAAUGAUAAGAGCCAUCUGGCCAGGGAUGGGUUUUAUGGACAGCUCUGGUUUCUCAAGCCUGGGAAAGGACUAUCUAACAGAUAUGUGUGAAUGUGGGGAGGGGGGGAGGUAGGAUGUAGAUAUACUCGGGGUUUGGCAGGAAUAUGUCAGUUUUAGCUUCGUUUUCAUCUUGUAAAGAAGAUCUUCAAUAAAGCGUUUCCACGGAGCUGCCUGUGUGAGCCUGCUUGAGUCCUAUAGCUUUCAAGAGCUGCCAGGACAUGGCCAGGAAGUGGGGAGGGAGGAAGUGGCUCUGUCCCCUCCCCUUGUGCCCAAACAGGGCUGAAACCUGCUUGCUUUGGGGGGGGGGGGGUCUCCUCUAUGUUCCUUUGGGGAGGGGGCCACUGCAUUGUUUGCAUCGCCCUCCCCGUUGACACCUGCAUUGACUUCCUUCCUUCCAUCUAUCCAUGGAUCCCACAGAUUGAAAGCAGAUUAUUGAGUCCCAACGUGCCCAGGCGUGUAGACGGCUUUUGAACUGUUUCAACAACCCUUUGGCACCUGCCUUGACUCGUUCAAUGGGCUUCCAGGUGCCUUGGACCGUUUCCCAUCCCCUCAAGCCGCUCCCAUCGGUUUUACUUGGUGCCAUAAUAGGAGUCCCAGAGAUAAAGAUUUUGAUAAGCACAUUAUACUGUGAUGCACAAUUAUUGUUCCUGGGUUAUCAUAACAAUAUAGGAAAGGUUUAUUAAAUUGCCCAAACUUGGUUCUGCAUGGGGGACAUCCUGCUAUAGUACAUUAUAUUGUAAUAUGUUAUUUUAUAUUACUACUAGCUGUGCCCGGCCACGCAUUGCUGUGGCGUAUGGGAAUUCUUUGUUAGGUAGGUGGAAUAGAAAGGAAUAGGCUUGCUGCUUGGAAGGUUAGGUACUUGCCUUUUAGGGGAAUGUUUUUUUGGGGUGGUAGAAUUGUAAUGAAUAGCCUCGGUGGUUCAAAGCCUGGGUGCUUGCUACCUAGGGGAAAUCUUUGGUUGGUCAGCUUCAGAGUAGUAUCACUGUUUCAAAGCCUGGUCGCCUUUUACGAAGGUUAAUCUUUUAUUGGUCUGGUUGAAUUGCACUGAAUAUCCUUGCAGCUCCAAUGUCUGGCUGUAUUUAUUAUUUUGUAUUUUAUAUAUAUAUUACAAAAUAUAGAAAGCAUGGCACAUUG
This is a long non-coding RNA of Anolis carolinensis (green anole), 1507 nucleotides long. RefSeq lists it as uncharacterized. Lineage: Eukaryota; Metazoa; Chordata; Lepidosauria; Squamata; Anolidae. The transcript is spliced from 2 exons. The record is from RefSeq and is a predicted model, not a curated record.